AAGUCGUAACAAGGUCUCCGUAGGUGAACCUGCGGAGGGAUCAUUAACACGUUUUAAAACACGUUUUAACACAACACCAACCAACCACGUGAACUAUUUAACAAUCCUGGAAAAGAGAGAAUUCUGUCUAUUUGCACACUAAUGAUGAGCUCUCGCAAGAGAGCGGUGUGUGUAGACUAACAUUGCAGGCAACUGACUUUGUAAAGACCUUUCUUUUCUGGGCUAAAUGCCUCUCUCAUCACUGGGGCGAAAACACCACUUUCACUACUUCUAUAACCAUUGACUGUAUCUUUUUUUAAUUUUCUACGUAAGUAGAGUGAUUGAAAAAAACCAUAAUCAAAUAUCUAAGCACAACUCUUAGCAACGGAUAUCUUGGUUCUC
This 381-nucleotide unclassified non-coding RNA is filed under the name fungal sp. RNAcentral describes it as "partial internal transcribed spacer region". The stretch from base 1 to 46 matches the Rfam family "Eukaryotic small subunit ribosomal RNA", at positions 1786 to 1831 of the family's 1831-position model. Lineage: Eukaryota; Fungi. The record is from RNAcentral.